RNAcentral lists this ribosomal RNA (793 nucleotides) under uncultured bacterium. RNAcentral's name for it is "bacterial SSU rRNA". It matches the Rfam family "Bacterial small subunit ribosomal RNA", at positions 8 to 796 of the family's 1533-position model. The record is from RNAcentral.
AGAGUUUGAUCAUGGCUCAGAUUGAACGCUGGCGGCAGGCCUAACAUAUGCAAGUCGAGCGGUAGAGAGAAGCUUGCUUCUCUUGAGAGCGGCGGACGGGUGAGUAAUGCCUAGGAAUCUGCCUGGUAGUGGGGGAUAACGUUCGGAAACGGACGCUAAUACCGCAUACGUCCUACGGGAGAAAGCAGGGGACCUUCGGGCCUUGCGCUAUCAGAUGAGCCUAGGUCGGAUUAGCUAGUUGGUGAGGUAAUGGCUCACCAAGGCGACGAUCCGUAACUGGUCUGAGAGGAUGAUCAGUCACACUGGAACUGAGACACGGUCCAGACUCCUACGGGAGGCAGCAGUGGGGAAUAUUGGACAAUGGGCGAAAGCCUGAUCCAGCCAUGCCGCGUGUGUGAAGAAGGUCUUCGGAUUGUAAAGCACUUUAAGUUGGGAGGAAGGGUUGUAGAUUAAUACUCUGCAAUUUUGACGUUACCGACAGAAUAAGCACCGGCUAACUCUGUGCCAGCAGCCGCGGUAAUACAGAGGGUGCAAGCGUUAAUCGGAAUUACUGGGCGUAAAGCGCGCGUAGGUGGUUUGUUAAGUUGGAUGUGAAAUCCCCGGGCUCAACCUGGGAACUGCAUUCAAAACUGACUGACUAGAGUAUGGUAGAGGGUGGUGGAAUUUCCUGUGUAGCGGUGAAAUGCGUAGAUAUAGGAAGGAACACCAGUGGCGAAGGCGACCACCUGGACUAAUACUGACACUGAGGUGCGAAAGCGUGGGGAGCAAACAGGAUUAGAUACCCUGGUAGUCC